Sinocyclocheilus anshuiensis is the source of this 672-nucleotide long non-coding RNA. RefSeq lists it as uncharacterized. NCBI's taxonomy places the organism in Eukaryota, Metazoa, Chordata, Actinopteri, Cypriniformes, Cyprinidae. The record is from RefSeq and is a predicted model, not a curated record. The transcript is spliced from 5 exons.
AUCUGCACAUGCGCAGAUGGACAGCACAUUCAUUCAAAGAUCACUCUUCAGCGAUCGGCGCCAUUUUUGAAUCAGACGAAGAUCACAGUGCCAAACGAGGAAUGUUUUCUUUAUGUGGAAACACAGAGUUUUAUAGUCCUACAUGUGGCUGUGCAGAGAUUGUGGUUCCUCUCACACAUCCAGAUCAAAUCCAGCACUCUUUAUAGAGCAAGAGGUAUCGGUGAAAUUCAGUUGGAUUACAACAAUCCCUUUGGUCUCCAAAUAUAUGGGUCAGCUUGAUCAUUUCUCAAACCAAAGAAAGGAGCAGCAGCAGCACAGAAGAUCACAAACAUCCUGUCAGUUAUGGCUCAGAAUGUCUCCAUCGGCAAAAAAUGUGAAUGCAUCCUGAAAGCCCUGGCUGUCUGCCUGAAGGAAGACCCCUCAAACCUUGUGAAGGAGUACAUGAAUGUUGAACGUGUUGAAGCCCUAACCUCAACGCACAACACCACGCUGGGAAUCUAUGUCAUCAUACAGAUGCUACAGACCUUUACGAAUAAUGUUGUACUGUUGGCUGUUGCAGUACAUUUGUUUUUCGGUACUGAACAUGUUACAUUCCUUUCAGCGUUGGUCUUGCUUUGAAUAAUGAUGCAUUUUCAUUACAGAAGAAGACUAUUUUGUAAAUCCUACCUAAAA